This 732-nucleotide ribosomal RNA is filed under the name uncultured bacterium. RNAcentral describes it as "bacterial SSU rRNA". It matches the Rfam family "Bacterial small subunit ribosomal RNA", at positions 28 to 773 of the family's 1533-position model. The record is from RNAcentral.
GACGAACGCUGGCGGCGCGCCUAACACAUGCAAGUCGAACGAGCGAGAGAGAGCUUGCUUUCUCGAGCGAGUGGCGAACGGGUGAGUAACGCGUGAGGAACCUGCCUCAAAGAGGGGGACAACAGUUGGAAACGACUGCUAAUACCGCAUAAGCCCACGGCUCGGCAUCGAGCAGAGGGAAAAGGAGCAAUCCGCUUUGAGAUGGCCUCGCGUCCGAUUAGCUAGUUGGUGAGGUAAUGGCCCACCAAGGCGACGAUCGGUAGCCGGACUGAGAGGUUGAACGGCCACAUUGGGACUGAGACACGGCCCAGACUCCUACGGGAGGCAGCAGUGGGGAAUAUUGCACAAUGGGGGAAACCCUGAUGCAGCGACGCCGCGUGGAGGAAGAAGGUCUUCGGAUUGUAAACUCCUGUUGUUGGGGAAGAUAAUGACGGUACCCAACAAGGAAGUGACGGCUAACUACGUGCCAGCAGCCGCGGUAAAACGUAGGUCACAAGCGUUGUCCGGAAUUACUGGGUGUAAAGGGAGCGCAGGCGGGAAGACAAGUUGGAAGUGAAAUCUAUGGGCUCAACCCAUAAACUGCUUUCAAAACUGUUUUUCUUGAGUAGUGCAGAGGUAGGCGGAAUUCCCGGUGUAGCGGUGGAAUGCGUAGAUAUCGGGAGGAACACCAGUGGCGCAGGCGGCCUACUGGGCACCAACUGACGCUGAGGCUCGAAAGUGUGGGUAGCAAAC